This is a non-coding RNA of Chrysemys picta bellii (western painted turtle), 1475 nucleotides long. The record is from RefSeq and is a predicted model, not a curated record. Lineage: Eukaryota; Metazoa; Chordata; Testudines; Emydidae.
UCUAGCUCCAGGGCAGUCGUAUGAGAGUGUCACUAGUCAAUGAUGUGUGUCAGCAGACUGGAUGUUCUACAUGAAGAUACAAUAUGCAAUGGUGAUAUCCAGGGGGAUGCGUGGAGAGAGAAAUGAGCAUUGCCUGGGUUUAUAGAAGCAACACAGCACUUCAAUACUCUCAUGAAAGACUGAUCCUGAGAAGUAGACUGGAAGCUUGAACAGCUGACUCGUUUUUCUUCUGCAAACUAAUCAGAGGAUGCUGGACACUCCAAUGCCUCUCAUUAAAAUGAAGUGGGUCCACUUUACAAGCUGAGACUUUAAGAAAAGCACCAAAUAUCAUGAGUUGGCAACCCUGAGAAUAGCAUGCACUUGAAUUAACACUUGUGGCUGGAUGAGGGAAGUAUCCAUUUCAUCAUAAGAGCAAAUGAGUCAUGCAGAUGCUAUUGCGUUUUGGAGCACGGUGAGAGGACAUACAUCUUUUCUGAGAGCUGCCAUAUGCUUUUCUGUCUUAUGUGGAUGAGAAAUAAAUAGCUGUGGACAUUCCCUUCCAACAAUACCUUGAGAGUGCACUUGUAUUUAAAGUUACAAUGCUCUAUUCCCCAUAAACCGACUUCGAUGUUCAUUGAAAUGGAGAGAGGGCUAAGGUGAAGAUGCACUAUCUGCAUUUCAUCAUCACUUUAGGCUCCAUUCUGUGUGUCACAGUGGCCUUAUUUCAGCAUGUAUCUACGUUUUAAGCACGAGUAGUCCUGUUUAAAUCAAUGGGACUACUCGCAUGCCUAGGAACCUAGGAUCAGGGCCAGUAAGUAUUUGUCAUGUUUCAGCAUGUGCUAUUAAAAUGUGUUGAAAACCCCUACUAAUAACCUAAACUGUCUAUUUACAAAUCUAAAGGAUUGAUUAACCUAAAUAGGAAUUAAUUUUUCUUCUAUAGAUUUUGAAUGGCUUUUAAAAUUAAAAAGCCAGCAUCUGCAUUACUGACCCUCUGCAAUAAGACAGAAGAGCAAGAUGAAAGAUGCACAUUUUAAAAAUCUUUUAAAUCCAUAAGUUUACUUAUCUCUGCACAAAUCCUGCUGAAACAUCUGUCUCCUACUUCAAUAAAUCUUCGGACACAAUCUCAACUUUGGAAAAGUGCAUAUAAAAAUGUGUACAGCUUAUUUGAAAUCAGUUCAAACUAAAUACCAACAAUCCAAUGAGUUGGAUAUAUGUCAUCUUAGAAAUAUUCAAGUAUUAAAAUGUGUACAACCCUAAGGAUACAUACACAGUCCUUGUCCUUAUGCCAGACAUUUGACUGUCCCACUGAGCUGAUAUCAUUGUCUAUUAUUCAGACAAAUAUUGUGUCAUUGUUUCCUUGUAUUCCCCCAUCUUUCUGUUUUAUACUUUAAAAAUAUCCCUGCCAGAAAGAGUUAAAUUGUAUUCUGUUAGUACAGCAGAGACCGUGGUACAUGACUGGGACUCCUAUGUGCUACAGUAAUAAAAAUAAUAAAGAA